Cygnus olor (mute swan) is the source of this 419-nucleotide long non-coding RNA. RefSeq lists it as uncharacterized. The record is from RefSeq and is a predicted model, not a curated record. NCBI's taxonomy places the organism in Eukaryota, Metazoa, Chordata, Aves, Anseriformes, Anatidae. The transcript is spliced from 3 exons.
AGCUGGUGCUGUGGCAUGUGGAAGUCUGGGGCUGACGGGUGGUGGAUUACAAAUGCAGACAUUGUGGCUGCGGGCUGAGAAGGGCCUGGGACUUACGUUGCUCUUCUUCUGCAGGCAGGAAUGCCGUCAGCCUGCACCAGUCACUGCACCGUCCUUCAUCCUGGUCUAGCACCACAGGCAAAGACUCUUUAAGGGUCUUCAGUCAUCAGCUGCACAGCUGCUCUUAUGAGGAGCAGCAGCUCAACCCUGUUCCCAUUUGAUCAUUCUCUUUGCCUCCUGAGUUUACUUGUGCUGGACACAGUUGUGCAAGGAAGUACCUGAGGACCAUAACUUCACAUGGAGACUGUGAGCCUUCCUCCUCCGUGCGCCCUCACAAUAAUGCAGUGACCCUAUGGAUUUCACUUGCAGGAAGAGCAUCU